UGCCUACUUCCUCAGCAAAAUUGG
Molecule: microRNA, 24 nt
Filed under: Echinococcus granulosus
Lineage: Eukaryota; Metazoa; Platyhelminthes; Cestoda; Cyclophyllidea; Taeniidae
Description: egr-miR-10258-5p
Source: miRBase by way of RNAcentral